This 490-nucleotide ribosomal RNA is filed under the name uncultured Propionibacterium sp. RNAcentral's name for it is "bacterial SSU rRNA". It matches the Rfam family "Bacterial small subunit ribosomal RNA", at positions 1 to 507 of the family's 1533-position model. Lineage: Bacteria; Bacillati; Actinomycetota; Actinomycetes; Propionibacteriales; Propionibacteriaceae. The record is from RNAcentral.
ACGUAGUUUGACUCUGGCUCAGGACGAACGCUGGCGGCGUGCUUAACACAUGCAAGUCGAACGGAAAGGCCCUGCGUUUUGUGGGGUGCUCGAGUGGCGAACGGGUGAGUAACACGUGAGUAACCUGCCCUUGACUUUGGGAUAACUUCAGGAAACUGGGGCUAAUACCGGAUAGGAGCUCCUGCUGCAUGGUGGGGGUUGGAAAGUUUCGGCGGUUGGGGAUGGACUCGCGGCUUAUCAGCUUGUUGUGGGGUAGUGGCUUACCAAGGCUUUGACGGGUAGCCGGCCUGAGAGGGUGACCGGCCACAUUGGGACUGAGAUACGGCCCAGACUCCUACGGGAGGCAGCAGUGGGGAAUAUUGCACAAUGGGCGGAAGCCUGAUGCAGCAACGCCGCGUGCGGGAUGACGGCCUUCGGGUUGUAAACCGCUUUCGCCUGUGACGAAGCGUGAGUGACGGUAAUGGGUAAAGAAGCACCGACUAACUACGUG